AGUGAACGCUGGCGGUAGGCCUAACACAUGCAAGUCGAACGGCAGCACAGUAAGAGCUUGCUCUUACGGGUGGCGAGUGGCGGACGGGUGAGGAAUACAUCGGAAUCUACUUUUUCGUGGGGGAUAACGUAGGGAAACUUACGCUAAUACCGCAUACGACCUACGGGUGAAAGCAGGGGAUCUUCGGACCUUGCGCGAUUGAAUGAGCCGAUGUCGGCUUAGCUAGUUGGCGGGGUAAAGGCCCACCAAGGCGACGAUCCGUAGCUGGUCUGAGAGGAUGAUCAGCCACACUGGAACUGAGACACGGUCCAGACUCCUACGGGAGGCAGCAGUGGGGAAUAUUGGACAAUGGGCGCAAGCCUGAUCCAGCCAUACCGCGUGGGUGAAGAAGGCCUUCGGGUUGUAAAGCCCUUUUGUUGGGAAAGAAAAGCAGCAGGUUAAUACCCCGCUGUUCUGACGGUACCCAAAGAAUAAGCACCGGCUAACUUCGUG
RNAcentral lists this ribosomal RNA (492 nucleotides) under uncultured bacterium. RNAcentral describes it as "partial 16S ribosomal RNA". It matches the Rfam family "Bacterial small subunit ribosomal RNA", at positions 29 to 507 of the family's 1533-position model. The record is from RNAcentral.